Molecule: ribosomal RNA, 52 nt
Filed under: Pedobacter kyonggii
Lineage: Bacteria; Pseudomonadati; Bacteroidota; Sphingobacteriia; Sphingobacteriales; Sphingobacteriaceae
Description: partial 23S ribosomal RNA
Source: RNAcentral
UAAAGCUGGCGACAGCACAGUCGAGUAGUACUAAUCAUCCGAAGCUUUCAAA